RNAcentral lists this ribosomal RNA (360 nucleotides) under uncultured bacterium. RNAcentral's name for it is "partial 16S ribosomal RNA". It matches the Rfam family "Bacterial small subunit ribosomal RNA", at positions 338 to 696 of the family's 1533-position model. The record is from RNAcentral.
CCUACGGGUGGCAGCAGUGAGGAAUAUUGGUCAAUGGGCGGGAGCCUGAACCAGCCAAGCCGCGUGAAGGAAGAAGGCGCCAGGCGUCGUAAACUUCUUUUGUAGGGGAACAAAGGGCGCCACGCGUGGCGUUGUGAGUGUAGCCGAAGAAAACGCAUCGACUAACUCCGUGCCAGCAGCCGCUGUAAUAGGGGGGGUGCGAUCGUUAUCCGGAUUUCUUGGGUGUAAGGGGUACGUAGGCGGUACGGACCGGCAGCGGGAAAAGCCCGGGGCCCAACCCGGGCGUGCCGUUGAAACUGUCGGACUAGAGACGAGGAGAGGUACGCGGAAUGCGCGGUGUAGCGGUGAAAUGCAUAGAUA